Molecule: small nucleolar RNA, 132 nt
Organism: Phodopus roborovskii (desert hamster)
Lineage: Eukaryota; Metazoa; Chordata; Mammalia; Rodentia; Cricetidae
Product: small nucleolar RNA SNORA55
Exons: 1
Source: RefSeq, a predicted model, not a curated record
GCAUCCAGAACCCCAGCCAGCUAGAUGUGGUGGUUCAUAUGCCGGUCUGGGGACAAACGGGGCUAUAGCAGAACAGUGGACAGGCUGGUUUCUAUUUGUCCUGGAGCCUGUCCCUACAGCUCUGCUACACUU